GUGGAUUAGAUACCCUAGUAGUCCACGCCCUAAACGAUGUCUACUAGUUGUUGGAGCAGCAAUGCUUUAGUAACGCAGCUAACGCGUGAAGUAGACCGCCUGGGGAGUACGAUCGCAAGAUUAAAACUCAAAGGAAUUGACGGGGGCCCGCACAAGCGGUGGAUGAUGUGGAUUAAUUCGAUGCAACGCGAAAAACCUUACCUACCCUUGACAUGUAACGAACCUCGCAGAGACGUGAGGGUGCCCGAAAGGGAGCGUUAACACAGGUGCUGCACGGCCGUCGACAACU
RNAcentral lists this ribosomal RNA (289 nucleotides) under uncultured bacterium. Its description in RNAcentral is "partial 16S ribosomal RNA". It matches the Rfam family "Bacterial small subunit ribosomal RNA", at positions 773 to 1060 of the family's 1533-position model. The record is from RNAcentral.